Molecule: unclassified non-coding RNA, 240 nt
Filed under: Rhizophagus sp. (in: glomeromycetes)
Lineage: Eukaryota; Fungi; Glomeromycota; Glomeromycetes; Glomerales; Glomeraceae
Description: partial contains 5.8S ribosomal RNA and internal transcribed spacer 2
Rfam family: 5.8S ribosomal RNA (bases 1-65)
Source: RNAcentral
GUGAAUCAUCAAAUCUUUGAACGCAAAUUGCACUCUCUUCGGAGAGUAUGCCUGUUUGAGGGUCAGUAUUAAUAAAAAUCGGUGUGUUGCUUCUUUGUGACGCUCCGGAGUUUGGGUCAUCUUAAUAUCCUUUAGGUUUUAAGAGGCUUAAAAUUGACUUUUUUGCGCAUUUUAGAUUUAAAAUAAUUCUUUUUUUUAUUCGUUCGUCCUAAUGCUUAAAAUCCUAAUAAAUUCGGAUCA